RNAcentral lists this ribosomal RNA (253 nucleotides) under uncultured bacterium. Its description in RNAcentral is "partial 16S ribosomal RNA". It matches the Rfam family "Bacterial small subunit ribosomal RNA", at positions 524 to 776 of the family's 1533-position model. The record is from RNAcentral.
UACGGGGGGAGCAAGCGUUGUUCGGAUUUACUGGGCGUAAAGGGCGCGUAGGCGGCGUAACAAGUCACUUGUGAAAUCUCCGGGCUUAACCCGGAGCGGCCAAGUGAUACUGUUGUGCUAGAGUGCGGAAGGGGCUACUGGAAUUCUCGGUGUAGCGGUGAAAUGCGCAGAUAUCAGGAGGAACACCGAUGGCGAAGGCAGGUCUCUGGGCCACUACUGACGCUGAGAAGCGAAAGCAUGGGGAGCGAACAGG